Molecule: ribosomal RNA, 818 nt
Filed under: uncultured eukaryote
Lineage: Eukaryota
Description: SSU rRNA
Rfam family: Eukaryotic small subunit ribosomal RNA
Source: RNAcentral
CGGUGUUUAACUGGCGUGAUGUGGGACGUCCUACCGGUGGGCUUAGCCUCGCGAGGGGCGGCCCAACUAAUAUCCCGUCGCGGUGCUCUUUACUGAGUGUCGAGUCGGGCCGGUACGUUUACUUUGAACAAAUUAGAGUGCUUAAAGCAGGCUAUCCUCGCCUGAAUACUGCGUGCAUGGAAUAAUGGAAUAGGACCUCGGUUCUAUUUUGUUGGUUUUCGGAACCCCGAGGUAAUGAUUAAUAGGGACAGAUGGGGGCAUUCGUAUUGCGACGUUAGAGGUGAAAUUCUUGGAUCGUCGCAAGACGGACAGAAGCGAAAGCAUUUGCCAAAAAUGUUUUCAUUAAUCAAGAACGAAAGUUAGAGGUUCGAAGGCGAUCAGAUACCGCCCUAGUUCUAACCAUAAACGAUGCCAGCUAGCGAUCCGCCGAAGUUCCUCCGAUGACUCGGCGGGCAGCUUCCGGGAAACCAAAGCUUUUGGGUUCCGGGGGAAGUAUGGUUGCAAAGCUGAAACUUAAAGGAAUUGACGGAAGGGCACCACCAGGAGUGGAGCGCGCGGCUUAAUUUGACUCAACACGGGAAACCUCACCAGGCCCAGACACCGGAAGGAUUGACAGAUUGAUAGCUCUUUCUUGAUUCGGUGGGUGGUGGUGCAUGGCCGUUUUUAGUUGGUGGAGCGAUUUGUCUGGUUAAUUCUGAUAACGAACGAGACUCUAGCCUGCUAAAUAGGCGUACCUUAUGGUAUCGCGAAGGCCCCCGGCUUCGGCCGGUGGGUUUUUACUACCAACGUACAAACAAAUCUUCUAGAGGGACAGGCGG